RNAcentral lists this long non-coding RNA (808 nucleotides) under Homo sapiens (human). RNAcentral's name for it is "non-protein coding lnc-ZNF484-2:1". Lineage: Eukaryota; Metazoa; Chordata; Mammalia; Primates; Hominidae. The record is from RNAcentral.
GCCAAGAGGCAGACCACAGGCCAUCUUGAGGAGGACUCUAUGUUCAAGUGCAGAAAGGGCCCAAUCUGGUGGAUGAACCACACGGCCAGCUUCUGGGUGCAGGCACAGUGCCACAUCUUCUGUCACUUCCUGAUGUGCCCCACCAGCGCUGAAAAGACAGCCUGGAGACAGGGCAAGAGGAAGGCUGAGAAGGAUGAGGUGGUGAGUUCCAGCUUCUUCCUGACUCUGAGCCCACCCCCAGGGUGGCCCUCAACCUUUAGAAGUGGGAGAGCAAAAUUGAAGGCUUCGAGUGCUUCAUCAAGAAGAUGGACAACAGGGCACUCAGCUCAACUUCACAGCCAAUGAGUUGACAUGCAAGUUGAUGAUGGUCAGAGGCUUUAAGAAAGAGCAGCAGAAGGCAGCCAGUUCUUCUUCCGCCUUAGCCAGGUCUUGGAUCUGGAACAGGCCAUCACUUCACCAGAGAUGCCUUCAACACCGUCUGUGAGCUCUUUGCCAAUGAACCCAGCCAGGAAGUGGACUCAGUCAUGGACCUGUUAGUGCUGUCUCAGGGACACCAGACCAACAUCCUGGACAUCAUCCACAUACACAAGGAAGCUCUUACCAAAGUCAUGGAGAGUAGGCAACAUGUGGCAGAAGGGAGGACAGAGGUGCAGAGGCUGAUAACGUCAGAAUCACAGGAACAGGAUUUUUUGGGACACUUUGGCUGAAAUUCACCACUUCCAUCCAAUUUGAGUGAGAGAUAUGAACUCACAGAUGCAGGAUUUCUUGCAACUAGAGAUACUAUUUUUUCAAAAAGUCACCCAGGAAU